AAUAGAGUGUUCAAAGCAGGCUUACGCCGUGAAUACUUUAGCAUGGAAUAACACGAUAGGACUCUGGCCUAUCUUGUUGGUCUGUAGGACUGGAGUAAUGAUUUAGAGGGACAGUCGGGGGCAUUCGUAUUUCAUUGUCAGAGGUGAAAUUCUUGGAUUUAUGAAAGACGAACUACUGCGAAAGCAUUUGCCCAAGGAUGUUUUCAUUAAUCAAGAACGAAAGUUGGGGGCUCGAAGGACGAUUAGAUACCCGUUGGUAGUCUCCAACCCAUAAACGAUGCCCGACUAGGGGAUUGGCCGAAUGUUUUUUUUAAUGACCUUCGCUCAGCAACCUUUUAGAGAAAUCAAAGUUUUUGGGUUCCGGGGGGAGUAUGGUCGCAAGGCUGAAACUUAAAGGAAUUGACGGAAGGGCACCACCAGGCGUUAACAAAGCUGAAAGCUCGAGCGCCAGUGAGGGGGAAACCUCUUGCUAGUCAACACAAUUCGAUUGUGUUGGCAACACCUUCAAAUUGCUGGAAAAUUCUAAAGCCAUUGCAUACCAAGGUGUGAAGGAAACUUCAUGCUGGCCAGGGUAAUGACCUCGGGUAUGGUGACAACUGCAAUGGAUGACGAGAUUUUCAGUCUCUGAAAUGGACAACCAGCAGCCAAGUCCUAAACCUGAUGUAAUAUCAUGCAUGGAUGCAGUUCACAGACUAAAUGGAGGUGGGCUGUCGAAUAAAUACCGACGGCUUAAGAUAUAGUCGGCCCUUAUCGAAAGAUAACCAGUAAGAGGAAACCAUGUUUAUAGUGGUGGAGAGCUUACUGGGCAUCAGGUAGUACUGGCAGUGUGAGCUGUCAAGGGCUCCACC
RNAcentral lists this ribosomal RNA (848 nucleotides) under Tetradesmus sp. NTAI04. RNAcentral's name for it is "bacterial SSU rRNA". The stretch from base 1 to 493 matches the Rfam family "Eukaryotic small subunit ribosomal RNA", at positions 765 to 1831 of the family's 1831-position model. The record is from RNAcentral. Lineage: Eukaryota; Viridiplantae; Chlorophyta; Chlorophyceae; Sphaeropleales; Scenedesmaceae.